RNAcentral lists this ribosomal RNA (468 nucleotides) under uncultured bacterium. Its description in RNAcentral is "bacterial SSU rRNA". It matches the Rfam family "Bacterial small subunit ribosomal RNA", at positions 15 to 518 of the family's 1533-position model. The record is from RNAcentral.
GAUUCUGGCUCAGAACGAACGCUGGCGGCAGGCUUAACACAUGCAAGUCGAGCGCCCCGCAAGGGGAGCGGCAGACGGGUGAGUAACGCGUGGGAACAUACCCUCUGGUUCGGAAUAACUCAGGGAAACUUGAGCUAAUACCGGAUACGCCCCCUGGGCUUGGCCUGGGGGGAAAGAUUUAUUGCCGGAGGAUUGGCCCGCGUCCGAUUAGCUCGUUGGCGGGGUAACGGCCCACCAAGGCGACGAUCGGUAGCUGGUCUGAGAGGAUGAUCAGCCACAUUGGGACUGAGACACGGCCCAAACUCCUACGGGAGGCAGCAGUGGGGAAUAUUGGACAAUGGGCGCAAGCCUGAUCCAGCCCAUGCCGCGUGAGUGAUGACGGCCUUAGGGUUGUAAACUUCUAUCAGCAGGGAAGAAGAUGACGGUACCUGACUAAGAAGCCCCGGCUAACUACGUGCCAGCAGCUGC